Molecule: long non-coding RNA, 1046 nt
Filed under: Mus musculus (house mouse)
Lineage: Eukaryota; Metazoa; Chordata; Mammalia; Rodentia; Muridae
Description: long non-coding RNA chr4:44931161-44932207
Source: RNAcentral
AAAAUAAAGAAACACAGAAAGAAAAGACCAGGAGUAGAGAAGGCAAGACGCACAGGAGGGGUCACCAGCCUCGGGGUGAGGAUGAAGACUUCCCCAGGGGCUCAAAACCCAACGCCUCUGGCUGCGCUAACAACCAGAAGCCUUCUAAGUCCCUCCACCAUGCAUCCCAUUACCACAGGCUGAGAGAAGAGCGGCUUCUCAGGGAGAGCAAGCGGAGCAAGCCAAAGAAAAGGAAGAGUACAGAGGACGGCAGCCAUGAUGAUUUGUUUCUUAUUAAGCAAAAGAAGAAGAAGCCUAAGCCGAGUGGUCUCUGACCUGGUCUCCGCGCUUCAGUGUCCUGGAAGUGCUUAAGUACCUGUUAAUGAGACGCUGGGAUUGAAUGCUGAGUUCCGGCCAUGCCUGGAGUGGCUGUACAGAGACCACAAAGAGUUCAGGUCUGUGUCCACAGGCUGUUCCUAGGUAGGAAGGCAAACUUGAGGUAGAAAAUUGUCUUUUCAUGAAAACCUUUUUAAAUGCUUUGGAAAAAUUACAAGCUCAUCAGAUGAUUUUAUCUCCAAUGUUUGAGGACUUAAAAGCUCAUUGGAAGAAAGUUUAUUGUUAAGAAAAGUCAUCACUUUUUUAGCUUUUUUUUUAAGAACACUGGAAAAAUCAAUGAAAAUCCAAGCCCGGCUUUGCUUGCAUCAGAGGCUGUUGGAAUCUCUCUCUGUACAGAACAGCAUGUAAAAUGAAGCUGUCACCAUUGAAUUCUGGAGGAGGUGGAGGAGAGGACAUAGCAAAUACACAAACAAAAUGUGCGCAGUGUGGGCUUGCAGGACGGAGGUGUGAAAGGCAUCCUCAAACUUGAGUGCAAUGGCAGGGACAUUUUGUUCGCACUGUUAACAGCCAUAGUUCAAGAGACAGGGAUACAUACCAUCAACCUAACUUGUCCUCGUGGAUCCUUUUAAACACUUCAACGCUCUUUAGAAUCUUUUGUACUUGUGAGCCUUUUUUACCCUUGUGAAAGCCUAAUGUUAGAAUAAGAAAAAUAAAAUGCCUGAAACCAUGUG